AUUGAACGCUGGCGGCAGGCCUAACACAUGCAAGUCGAGCGAGCGGCGGACGGGUGAGUAAUGUAUGGGGACUGCCCGAUAGAGGGGGAUAACUACUGGAAACGGUGGCUAAUACCGCAUACUAUCGGAUAACCCAUAUGGGAUUAGCUAGUAGGUGGGGUAAAGGCUCACAUAGGCGACGAUCUCUAGCUGGUCUGAGAGGAUGAUCAGCCACACUGGGACUGAGACACGGCCCAGACUCCUACGGAGGCAGCAGUGGGGAAUAUUGGGCAAUGGGCGAAAGCCUGAUGGAGCAAUGCCGCGUGUAUGAAGAAGGCCUUAGGGUUGUAAAGUACUUUCAGCAGGGAGGCGGUAUCCGCAGAAGAAGCAACGGCUAACUCCGUGCCAGCCGCCGCGGUAAUAC
This 403-nucleotide ribosomal RNA is filed under the name uncultured bacterium. Its description in RNAcentral is "partial 16S ribosomal RNA". It matches the Rfam family "Bacterial small subunit ribosomal RNA", at positions 30 to 526 of the family's 1533-position model. The record is from RNAcentral.